This 499-nucleotide ribosomal RNA is filed under the name uncultured bacterium. RNAcentral's name for it is "partial 16S ribosomal RNA". It matches the Rfam family "Bacterial small subunit ribosomal RNA", at positions 28 to 507 of the family's 1533-position model. The record is from RNAcentral.
GACGAACGCUGGCGGCGUGCUUAACACAUGCAAGUCGAACGGGCCUGUCUUCUUUUUUGGGGGUGGGUUGAGUGGCGAACGGGUGAGUAUCACGUGAGUAACCUGCCCUUCGGUCCUGGAUAACCGCUUGAAAGGGCGGCUAAUACGGGGUGGUCCGGUUGGUCCGCAUGGGCUGGUCGGGAUAGAUUCACUGUUUUUGGUGUUUCGGCGGGGGAUGGGCUCGCGGCCUAUCAGCAUGUUGGUGGGGUGAUGGCCUACCAAGGCGGUGACGGGUAGCCGGCCUGAGAGGGUGGGCGGCCACACUGGGACUGAGAUACGGCCCAGACUCCUGCGGGAGGCAGCAGUGGGGGGUAUUGCACAAUGGGCGGAAGCCUGAUGCAGCGACGUCGCGUGAGGGAUGGAGGCCUUCGGGUUGUGAACCUCUGUUUCCGGUGGUGAAGGCCCUGUCCGUGUGGUGGGGUUGACGGUAGCCGGGGAUGAAGCGCCGGCUAACUACGUG